CCUACGGGGCGCUGCAGUGGGGAAUAUUGCACAAUGGGGGAAACCCUGAUGCAGCGACGCCGCGUGAGUGAAGAAGUAUUUCGGUACGUAAAGCUCUAUCAGCAGGGAAGAAAAUGACGGUACCUGACUAAGAAGCCCCGGCUAACUACGUGCCAGCAGCCGCGGUAAUACGUAGGGGGCAAGCGUUAUCCGGAUUUACUGGGUGUAAAGGGAGCGUAGACGGCAGCGCAAGUCUGGAGUGAAAUCCCAUGGCUUAACCAUGGAACUGCUUUGGAAACUGUGCAGCUAGAGUGCAGGAGAGGUAAGCGGAAUUCCUAGUGUAGCGGUGAAAUGCGUAGAUAUUAGGAGGAACACCAGUGGCGAAGGCGGCUUACUGGACUGUAACUGACGUUGAGGCUCAAAAGCGUGGGGAGCAAACAGGAUUAGAUACCCUUGUAGUC
RNAcentral lists this ribosomal RNA (440 nucleotides) under uncultured bacterium. Its description in RNAcentral is "partial 16S ribosomal RNA". It matches the Rfam family "Bacterial small subunit ribosomal RNA", at positions 338 to 795 of the family's 1533-position model. The record is from RNAcentral.